UUGGAGGGUGAAGGUUAACGUUGAAUUUUUUGAGAAUAGUAAAAUCUGCCAUAGAGUUGGAAGCUCGGGAAUUGGAGUUGUUUCCAGCAAAAGAAGUAUUUGAAAUGAUAGAGGCGAUAGAACUUUUCCAGUGAAUCUUGUUGUUUUGGAAUCUUAGCUGGUUUCUUGCAUACCAAAUGGAGUUGAUGAGAUUGAUUAGGGCAGAAGUGACCACUAAUUUACACUGAGGGUUCCACGGUUUAUCACAAACUGUCCAGAUAUCUUCAAUGUGUUGGAAAUGCAGAGGGAAGUUGAACAUGCUAGCUAACCAGCACCAAAGCCUGAUUGCAUAAGAGCAUUGGAAAAAUAGAUGGAAUGUGGAUUCUUCAUGAAUGGAGC
RNAcentral lists this long non-coding RNA (378 nucleotides) under Medicago truncatula (barrel medic). Its description in RNAcentral is "long non-coding RNA (MTRU_LNC008245)". The record is from RNAcentral. Lineage: Eukaryota; Viridiplantae; Streptophyta; Magnoliopsida; Fabales; Fabaceae.